Non-coding RNA from Nippostrongylus brasiliensis, 146 nucleotides. The record is from Rfam. NCBI's taxonomy places the organism in Eukaryota, Metazoa, Nematoda, Chromadorea, Rhabditida, Heligmosomidae.
AUCCUUCCUUCUUGGCGCUGCUACGUCAUUUACGACUAGUAGUGUAUGUUAAGGAAGGUAAAACAUGUCCUUUGGAUAUUCGGAUCUCCUUCGGUGCUAUUCUAGCAGAACUUCGAAUAGUGUCAUCCUCUGGAUUCGAGACAUUU